GGAGAGGUACCGAAGCGGCCAUAACGGCACCGACUCGAAAUCGGUUGGGGGCUUUAACGCCCCACAAGGGUUCGAAUCCCUUCCUCUCCGCCA
RNAcentral lists this transfer RNA (93 nucleotides) under Chromatiales bacterium. Its description in RNAcentral is "tRNA-Ser". It matches the Rfam family "tRNA". Rfam says of the family: Transfer RNA (tRNA) molecules are approximately 80 nucleotides in length. Their secondary structure includes four short double-helical elements and three loops (D, anti-codon, and T loops). Further hydrogen bonds mediate the characteristic L-shaped molecular structure. tRNAs have two regions of fundamental functional importance: the anti-codon, which is responsible for specific mRNA codon recognition, and the 3' end, to which the tRNAs corresponding amino acid is attached (by aminoacyl-tRNA synthetases). tRNAs cope with the degeneracy of the genetic code in two manners: having more than one tRNA (with a specific anti-codon) for a particular amino acid; and 'wobble' base-pairing, i.e. permitting non-standard base-pairing at the 3rd anti-codon position. RNAcentral also lists the same sequence under 1 other name. Lineage: Bacteria; Pseudomonadati; Pseudomonadota; Gammaproteobacteria; Chromatiales. The record is from RNAcentral.